Molecule: long non-coding RNA, 292 nt
Organism: Diuraphis noxia (Russian wheat aphid)
Lineage: Eukaryota; Metazoa; Arthropoda; Insecta; Hemiptera; Aphididae
Source: RefSeq, a predicted model, not a curated record
CACGCCACCACGCUGCUCUUGUACAUUAAUCUAAAAAUCACAGUAUAUAAAAGGACUACCGGUGCUUCAUUCAGACAUAACGCAAUUUGUGUGCAAAUCUAAUCUUCAUCUUCACGCUAUUCCACGAAAACAAACCAAAAAACCAAAAAUGGGUGCCGAAAAAGUAACCAUGAACAUCGUCGUCGUWGGACAAGUCCAAUCUGCCAAGGCCAUCAAAUCGGUCGCCAAAGCCACCCCAGCCAACAGCCAAUUGAUGAACUGUUAAUUCAUGAAGUCCACAUCAAUCUCAAAC